Leguminivora glycinivorella is the source of this 1307-nucleotide long non-coding RNA. RefSeq lists it as uncharacterized. The transcript is spliced from 2 exons. Lineage: Eukaryota; Metazoa; Arthropoda; Insecta; Lepidoptera; Tortricidae. The record is from RefSeq and is a predicted model, not a curated record.
UUGCACAUUUUAGCUUAACAAUUUAACAACGGCAGUUUUAAAUUUGUCCCGAACGUAAUUACUUUUUGCGCAUAGCAAAGCCUUUAUGUGAUCUAGCAACUGGAUCGAUACUGGAUGACAGUUCGAUUAUCCAAUCAGAAUCAGCUGUCAACAAAGGGUGUUGCCAGAAUACAAAUAUGCACAAUUUUCAGAAUAUUUAAUUAUUUAGAAUUAACAAUUUAAAUGUAAUUAAUAAAUCAGAAAAUAGUCACUUUAUUGUUGGAAAAUUAUAUGGAAUUUUGUGCACUAGGAUUUUCAGUUGGUUGAAAUUUACUUCUGCAGAGGACUGCUGAGGUGGUCAUUUUAGAUGUUAUCCCCAAGCCUCUCAAGGUCGUUAGGGCUCCUGAGAUCAUUUCCUGCACUUGCUAGCUGUCUCCGGUCCUGUUCAGGCCUCCAGUGCCUGCUUUUAUUUAUCGAGUUUCAUCUUCGAUCCAAAAAGUGAUCAGAUUGAUGGAGUGCUGGCGGUCAAUCCUUGUGUAGCCUAAGGGCAUUCUGGAGGAAUAUUUUCCCACCAUGAAUUGUAAGUAGAAUAUUAUGGGUGUAUCAGGUUGAUCACAUUAUUGAUCCUUGCCUCAGUUUAAUUUGACCACGUGUGUCUAUUUCCAGUCUUCUGGUGGACUAUGUGGAGGGAAGGGUCGUCAGAGCUGAGAAAAUGAGCUCUCUCAAGUUCCAGCUGCUGACUGGGAAUUAAAACUAUAUUUACAAUUACAAUUACAACUAAAUCUGUGUUUAGGCCUACUCCAGGUUAUACUGGUUAUACAGACAUUCAAGUAAUGUCUUCUUUAUAAAGGGGGCCGGUUUGUCCGGCAACUCCAAUUUUACCACAAGCGUCGAAUGGUGCGAUAGCUUGCUUCCGGGGUCGAGCCUAUCCAGGCGAAGAAGAUGCUCUCAACUUGCUGAUGCGUCGGUUGCGGUGGUGCUUCAUUGUGUCACAGCGCCUGGGGCGACCAGCUUCAGCUCGCAGAAGGAGGGCUUACACAUUGUAUUAGCGGUAACUUCUGGCUUGAAGGUUGGUGUCAUUUUCUUUCUUCCUGGAAGGCAAGAUUACUUAGUUUAGUUAAGAAGAAUUCCUAUUAUCUAUGUUGGCACUGAUAACUAGGGACUAACAGAACUUAGGAACGCUUGUAAAUCAUUUAGAAUUGAACUAUUGCACGGCCCAGCUCUACCGUCUGGCAAUACAUAUUAAGGUGCUAGCUUAAGCUUAGAAUAAUGAUUUACUGGCUAUAACUUGCUUUGUGUCCGUUAGACAAUAAAAUAGUGUGUCACAA